This 441-nucleotide ribosomal RNA is filed under the name uncultured bacterium. Its description in RNAcentral is "bacterial SSU rRNA". It matches the Rfam family "Bacterial small subunit ribosomal RNA", at positions 958 to 1398 of the family's 1533-position model. The record is from RNAcentral.
AACGCGAAGAACCUUACCAGCCCUUGACAUGUCCGGGACCGGUCGCAGAGAUGUGACCUUCUCUUCGGAGCCCGGAACACAGGUGCUGCAUGGCUGUCGUCAGCUCGUGUCGUGAGAUGUUGGGUUAAGUCCCGCAACGAGCGCAACCCCCGUCCUUAGUUGCUACCAUUUAGUUGAGCACUCUAAGGAGACUGCCGGUGAUAAGCCGCGAGGAAGGUGGGGAUGACGUCAAGUCCUCAUGGCCCUUACGGGCUGGGCUACACACGUGCUACAAUGGCGGUGACAAUGGGAUGCUAAGGGGCGACCCUUCGCAAAUCUCAAAAAGCCGUCUCAGUUCGGAUUGGGCUCUGCAACUCGAGCCCAUGAAGUUGGAAUCGCUAGUAAUCGUGGAUCAGCACGCCACGGUGAAUACGUUCCCGGGCCUUGUACACACCGUACGUC